This 1436-nucleotide ribosomal RNA is filed under the name uncultured Pelagibacterales bacterium. RNAcentral's name for it is "bacterial SSU rRNA". It matches the Rfam family "Bacterial small subunit ribosomal RNA". The record is from RNAcentral. Lineage: Bacteria; Pseudomonadati; Pseudomonadota; Alphaproteobacteria; Candidatus Pelagibacterales.
AGAGUUUGAUCCUGGCUCAGAACGUACGCUGGCGGCACGCCUAACACAUGCAAGUCGAACGAAGUAGCAAUACUUAGUGGCAGACGGGUGAGUAACAUGUAGGUAUCUGCCCUUUGGCCUGGAAUAACACGAGGAAACUUGUGCUAAUACCGGAUAAGUCUUUACGGAGAAAGCUUUAUGCACCAUUGGAUGAGCCUGCACUUGAUUAGUUUGUUGGUGGGGUAAUGGCCUACCAAGACUGUGAUCAAUAGCUGAUUUGAGAGGAUGAUCAGCCACAUUGGGACUGAGACACGGCCCAAACUCCUACGGGAGGCAGCAGUGGGGAAUCUUGCACAAUGGAGGAAACUCUGAUGCAGCGAUGCCGCGUGAGUGAAGAAGGCCCUUGGGUUGUAAAGCUCUUUCGUCGGGGAAGAAAAUGACUGUACCCGAAUAAGAAGGUCCGGCUAACUUCGUGCCAGCAGCCGCGGUAAUACGAAGGGACCUAGCGUAGUUCGGAAUUACUGGGCUUAAAGAGUUCGUAGGUGGUUGAAAAAGUUAGUGGUGAAAUCCCAGAGCUUAACUCUGGAACUGCCAUUAAAACUUUUCAGCUAGAGUAUGAUAGAGGAAAGCAGAAUUUCUAGUGUAGAGGUGAAAUUCGUAGAUAUUAGAAAGAAUACCAAUUGCGAAGGCAGCUUUCUGGAUCAUUACUGACACUGAGGAACGAAAGCAUGGGUAGCGAAGAGGAUUAGAUACCCUCGUAGUCCAUGCCGUAAACGAUGUGUGUUAGACGUUGGAAAUUCAUUUUCAGUGUCGCAGGGAAACCGAUAAACACACCGCCUGGGGAGUACGACCGCAAGGUUAAAACUCAAAUGAAUUGACGGGGACCCGCACAAGUAGUGGAGCAUGUGGUUUAAUUCGAAGAUACGCGCAGAACCUUACCAACACUUGACAUGUUCGUCGCGACUCUAAGAGAUUAGAGUUUUCGGUUCGGCCGGACGAAACACAGGUGCUGCAUGGCUGUCGUCAGCUCGUGUCGUGAGAUGUUGGGUUAAGUCCCGCAACGAGCGCAACCCUCACUUUUAGUUGCCAUCAUUAAGUUGGGCACUCUGAAAGAACUGCCAGUGAUAAGCUGGAGGAAGGUGGGGAUGACGUCAAGUCCUCAUGGCCCUUACGUGUUGGGCUACACACGUGCUACAAUGGUAUCUACAACAGGAAGCAAGACUGCGAAGUUAAGCAAAUCCCUAAAAGAUACCUCAGUUCGGAUUGCACUCUGCAACUCGAGUGCAUGAAGCUGGAAUUACUAGUAAUCGUGGAUCAGCGUGCCACGGUGAAUGCGUUCCCGGGUCUUGUACACACCGCCCGUCACACCAUGGGAGUUGGUUCUACCUUAAGGCAAGGUUUUAAACCCUUGACCACGGUAUAGUCAGCGACUGGGGUGAAGUCGUAACAAGGUAACC